This 449-nucleotide ribosomal RNA is filed under the name uncultured bacterium. RNAcentral's name for it is "partial 16S ribosomal RNA". It matches the Rfam family "Bacterial small subunit ribosomal RNA", at positions 355 to 793 of the family's 1533-position model. The record is from RNAcentral.
UGGGGAAUUUUGGACAAUGGGCGAAAGCCUGAUCCAGCAAUGCCGCGUGUGUGAAGAAGGCCUUCGGGUUGUAAAGCACUUUUGUCCGGAAAGAAAUCCUUGGCUCUAAUACAGUCGGGGGAUGACGGUACCGGAAGAAUAAGCACCGGCUAACUACGUGCCAGCAGCCGCGGUAAUACGUAGGGUGCAAGCGUUAAUCGGAAUUACUGGGCGUAAAGCGUGCGCAGGCGGUUUGCUAAGACCGAUGUGAAAUCCCCGGGCUCAACCUGGGAACUGCAUUGGUGACUGGCAGGCUAGAGUAUGGCAGAGGGGGGUAGAAUUCCACGUGUAGCAGUGAAAUGCGUAGAGAUGUGGAGGAAUACCGAUGGCGAAGGCAGCCCCCUGGGCCAAUACUGACGCUCAUGCACGAAAAGCGUGGGGGAGCAAAACAGGAUUAGAUACCCUGGUAG